This is a non-coding RNA of Phlegmacium glaucopus, 84 nucleotides long. The record is from the annotation of a GenBank genome assembly. Lineage: Eukaryota; Fungi; Basidiomycota; Agaricomycetes; Agaricales; Cortinariaceae.
GCCACUGUAGCACAAUGGUAGUGCGUUGCUUUCCUAUGGUCGUUUACCAGGCAGAGGCUGUGGGUUCGAGUCCCAUCAGUGGUU